AGCGAACGCUGGCGGCAUGCUUAACACAUGCAAGUCGCACGGGCAGGGGAAACUCUGUCAGUGGCGGACGGGUGAGUAACGCGUAGGUAUCUAUCCAAGGGUGGGGGACAACCGCGGGAAACUGCGGCUAAUACCGCAUGACGAGCCAUUCUGAGAGGGAUGGUUCCAAAGGCUGCAAGGUCGCCUAUGGAGGAGCCUGCGUCCGAUUAGCUAGUUGGU
RNAcentral lists this ribosomal RNA (219 nucleotides) under uncultured bacterium. RNAcentral describes it as "partial 16S ribosomal RNA". It matches the Rfam family "Bacterial small subunit ribosomal RNA", at positions 29 to 253 of the family's 1533-position model. The record is from RNAcentral.